UCCCUGGUGGCUCAGAUGGUAAAGCGUCUGCCUGCAGCGCAGGAGACCCAGAUUUGAUCCCUGGGUUGGGAA
Molecule: non-coding RNA, 72 nt
Organism: Bos taurus (domestic cattle)
Lineage: Eukaryota; Metazoa; Chordata; Mammalia; Artiodactyla; Bovidae
Source: Rfam